This 406-nucleotide ribosomal RNA is filed under the name uncultured bacterium. RNAcentral describes it as "bacterial SSU rRNA". It matches the Rfam family "Bacterial small subunit ribosomal RNA", at positions 29 to 455 of the family's 1533-position model. The record is from RNAcentral.
AAUGAACGUUGGCGGCGUGGAUUAGGCAUGCAAGUCGAGCGGUCAUCAGCAAUGGUGGGAGCGGCGAACGGCGUAGUAAGACGUAGGAACGUACCCUCGGGACGGGGAUAGCAUGGGAAACUGUAGGUAAUACCCGAUAAUCUCUGCGGAGCAAAGGUGUGAUUCCGCCUGGGGAGCGGCUUACGCGAUAUUAGCUAGUUGGUGGGGUAAUGGCCUACCAAGGCGAUGAUGUCUAGGGGGUGUGAGAGCAUGGCCCCCCACGACCGGAACUGAGAUACUGUCCGGACACCUACGGGUGGCUGCAGUCGAGAAUCUUCCGCAAUGGACGAAAGUCUGACGGAGCGACGCCGCGUGCGGGAUGAAGGCCCUUGGGUUGUAAACCGCUGUCAGAGGGGAUGAAAUCUUC